Triticum aestivum (bread wheat) is the source of this 2635-nucleotide RNA transcript. It is a transcript of the gene named uricase-2 isozyme 1, with no coding region annotated. NCBI's taxonomy places the organism in Eukaryota, Viridiplantae, Streptophyta, Magnoliopsida, Poales, Poaceae. The transcript has 8 exons. The record is from RefSeq and is a predicted model, not a curated record.
GUUUUGACAAAUAACUUUCUUACAUUUACUGUGGUAAAUAUUCACAUUGGUAUAUUGCAAAAUGUCAUGGUAAAGGAAAAAGUCCCUCCCUGAUGAAUCAUUUCAGAGUUAUCUAAUUACUUAUACAAUGGACUUCUUUUCAGGAUUCAAACUUGGUUCUGAAAAGCACACCACAGAGGUCACCGUGAAGAAGUCUGGAAGCCUGCUUAUAAAUUCUGGGAUACAAGGAUACUCCCUGCUAAAGACAACUCAGUCUGGAUUUGAAGGAUUCGUGAGGGAUCGCUACACCCUUCUUCCUGAAACAAGAGAAAGAAUUGUAGCUACAGAAGUAACUGCUUGGUGGAGAUGAGAGUCUGGAAUGUUCCAUCCAAAUAGUUUAAUCAGAAACUGCACUGGCAAAGGUCUAGAGGAUGUAGAGGAGCUCCAGUUUGAUCCUAAGGAUGGCAUUGCUUUUUUUUUUCUUCUUAUGUUCCAGUUUGCAGCAACAUCUCCGACACCCUCUCGACGAAUUGCAGGUAGAUUGUAGCUGAGGAUGCGGCGAUGACCACCGAGGACCGGAGUGCAUGCUCGGUGGCAGAAGCAUCAGGGUGCUCCACGCUCAACAUCUUCUCAGCAUAGCUGCUCGAUCAGUAGUUUUGAUUGAUCUAUUUGAUAAUUUAAGCCAUCCAGUUGAUGUUCUUGGUUCGCUCAUGCUCUUUUCUUAUGUUGUUGUUUAAUCACUAUUGGCUUGGAUAUUCUCUAUAGCAUCUCAACAAUUCACUGCAAUUGGCCAGGUUAUUCUGUAUAUUUGAUACUGUACGAGAGUAGCAGUCGGACUCAAAAAAUCACAACAUUCUGCAGGUCCAAAUUUACAUUGAUUGUUUAGUGGUUCAUCGAAAUUCUUCUGCCUAUGACUUUGAAAUUGGCCAGUAAAAGCCAACAUCCACCCUCUUCACAGCCGCAGUCAGGGAUUCGUUCAUUUUAGUGUGAGUAAGGAUGGGAACAUUGAUCUAUAUAUGUACUUCUGGAUGACAAAGACUUCGAGUUCUGUGUGAAGCUCCAAAAGGAAUACCUAUAAGACUCCUUCAUCAACUUAGUAAGAUUGCAUAUGCCCUUUGCGUUGCACAGGUCCAACGCCUCGCUCCUCUACUCAUAGUGAAAAAAAACUUAGGUACUCUGAAAUUUAUCUUUUCUUCCCCUCACGCUUUGUUAGGUUAGAUCAAUAGUUUUAUCUUAUUGGACCUGUGCAUUUUGAGAGUCCGAAAUGGGAACAUUAAAUUUACUUGGACCCUAUCUUAUUCUCAUAUCUGUAACUAGCUUUCCUUGUCAUUUAGAAGGGACGACCUAAGGAGUAGAGAGAUUCGAGGCAAUCAAAAUCCUGCAUAUGUAUGUUUACAGGCGUUUGAUAAUCCUACGCCAGGGCCACAUAUAUAGGGACAUUCAAAAUUCUACACCAGGUUCACGUAUAUAGGGACAUAUUCAGCUGAGGUUCACGUAUAUACAAACCUGAAACUGUAUGCUUCAAACCGGAUGUGGCAGUAAUCCACUCAUCAUGCAAAACAAAACAAAAAUCUGUUACCUAGCAUGUAUUUGUUUGUACAGAUGAUGCAAUGUACUACAUUUUGUUUGCAUAAUACAUCACCUAGCAUGUAUUUGUUAUAAUCGAGCACCGCGACGAAUCUGUUAUUUACCUUAGGAGGGUAAGAAAAAACACAAUCAAUGAUAUUAUACAUAAUUCUAGACAUUGUUUUAGAGUAUGUUAUAAAGUAUAUUUUUCUUCUAGUAAAUGUUGGAAAUGUCUAUGUACUUUUUUCUCCCAAUAUGUUAUGGUCAUUUUCCUGCUAUGCGUAUAAAUUUCAUGGCCAGCUUACCAACUGGUGGUUGGCGAUCCUUUCUAUCUUCUUCCUCGCCGGCUCGAUAAAUCUCUCGGUUUCCUUCUCCUACCACUCUUCCUCCCUUGUGCUCUGUAACUCGGCCAUUGAUGUGGCUGUUAGUAAUAAGAUGGUAAUAUUUGUUUUAUAGAAAUACUUGUUUUUUGCGGGUGUUUAGAAAUACUUGUUAGUUGCACAGGUGUACCCUGCAAGGAAUAAUUUUACAAUGGAAAUGCAUAUCUGUUGAAUUGAUGACUAAACAAGUUUGCGGGCACAUCUCUGAAAAUACAAGCAAAUACAGACAUAGAUUUAAGGGUUCUCAUUCAUUUAAAUCUCAAUGUUGAGAGAAGCCGAUCUUUGGAUAUGAGUAUUUUCUUCCCUGUUUGCGUGAUUGUUUAAUUGAAUGGAUAACUAUGUCUCCUGAAUAUUGUCCCAUAUAAUUGUUUUAAAUCUACCGAAUUAGUUCUCUAAAUCAGUUGAUAUUUUGCAAAGCUUCAAGCUUUAGUUUUUGCACUUCAUGACAUCAAUUGUUUGUGCAGAUUCAAGAUUUAUUUCUGUACUGGAUGAUAGCAGUGAUUAGUGGAUUACUGUCACAUGCUGCUGUUGUCAUCCAUAUCUCCUCAGGUGCCUUAGGUUUGUGAUGCGAAAGUUGUUGUACAUAUGUAAAUUGUUCUGUUCUUCUUUCGCCAAAACAUUAAUAAGCCCGCGAUACACUUUGCUUCUUUUUUAUCUAAUGUCUAUUUGUAGACUAAGUGUUUUAUUUAUGAUAGUGGAUUUCUGGCGUA